RNAcentral lists this ribosomal RNA (1092 nucleotides) under Triticum aestivum (bread wheat). Its description in RNAcentral is "partial small subunit ribosomal RNA". Lineage: Eukaryota; Viridiplantae; Streptophyta; Magnoliopsida; Poales; Poaceae. The record is from RNAcentral.
AUGGAGGCGGAGGCAGAGUGUGGUAGCGCCGGCGGGUGGUCGAAGGUGGGAACAUCGCUUCCCGUCACGAGCGUGCAGGCUCUGGUGGCGUCCGCCGUUGAGCUGACGGCCGACAAGAUCGGACGGUAUAUCCAGCCAGACAUUGACGCGCACGCCGUCCUCCCCGAGCUGUCCGACGAGGUUCCGGUGAUCGACAUCAGCAAGCUCUUGAGCGCCGAGUCCGCUGAAGCAGAAACCGCCAAGCUCAGAUUUGCCUGCGCGGAGUGGGGCUUCUUUCAGGUUGUAAAUCAUGGAAUACCGAUUGAAGUCAUAAUGGGUAUAAAGCAGGACAUUCAAAAUUUCUUUCAACUCCCCCUCGAAGUUAAGAAUAAAUAUGCUCAACGCCUAGGGGAUCUUCAAGGGUAUGGCCAAGUGUUUGUUGUCUCUGAUGACAAGCUAGAAUGGGGUGACAGGUUUGCCCUCUUCAUUCAACCACCCCAAGCUCGUGAUAUGAGUUACUGGCCAAGUCAACCUCAUACUUUCAGGAAUUGUAUUGAACAAUACUCUUCAGAGGUGAUGAAAUUCACGCAUUCUCUUGCCAUCUUGAUUGCAAAAACACUAGAUGUUGAUCCGGAAUUGGUGGCAGACAAACAUGCGUCUCAAUUUCUCAGGAUGAACUACUACCCUCCAUGCACGUCAACCCCAGAAAAGGUUCUAGGCUUGUCACCGCAUUCCGAUGGAUCUUUUCUCACUAUUCUGCUAGAAGUUAAUUCAGUUCAAGGCUUACAAAUUAGAAGGCAUGGUGCAUGGAUUCCCGUGAAACCACAUUGUGAUGCACUAUUGGUGAAUGUGGGCGACCUUCUUGAGAUUAUGACAAAUGGGAAGUACAAGAGCAUUGAGCACAGGGUCACCAUAAAUGCCCACAAGGAGCGACUAUCCAUAUCAGCAUUUCAAAUCCCAAAUUAUGAUGGAAUUAUUUCACCAAUUUUAGAAAAUGCAGAAGAGAAGAUAUUAUACAAGACAAUGAAAGUAGGAGAGUAUUUAAGACUUUAUUUCUCAAACAAACUAGAAGGAAAGAGAGCCCUGGAUUAUGCGAAGUUAUCCGAAAUUUAA